This 199-nucleotide ribosomal RNA is filed under the name Aspergillus urmiensis. RNAcentral describes it as "partial 28S ribosomal RNA". It matches the Rfam family "Eukaryotic large subunit ribosomal RNA", at positions 1 to 198 of the family's 3401-position model. The record is from RNAcentral. Lineage: Eukaryota; Fungi; Ascomycota; Eurotiomycetes; Eurotiales; Aspergillaceae.
UUGACCUCGGAUCAGGUAGGGAUACCCGCUGAACUUAAGCAUAUCAAUAAGCGGAGGAAAAGAAACCAACCGGGAUUGCCUCAGUAACGGCGAGUGAAGCGGCAAGAGCUCAAAUUUGAAAGCUGGCCCCUCCGGGGUCCGCAUUGUAAUUUGCAGAGGAUGCUUCGGGUGCAGCCCCCGUCUAAGUGCCCUGGAAUGG